Molecule: transfer RNA, 61 nt
Filed under: Pandorites podoceroides
Lineage: Eukaryota; Metazoa; Arthropoda; Malacostraca; Amphipoda; Pontogammaridae
Description: tRNA-Asn
Source: RNAcentral
UUGGUCGAAGCCAAAAAGAGGCUAAUCAUUGUUAAUGAUUUAAUUGGGUUUCCCGGUCAAU